AGAGUUUGAUUAUGGCUCAGGAUGAACGCUAGCGAUAGGCCUAACACAUGCAAGUCGAGGGGCAGCACAUGAAGUAGCAAUACGGAUGGUGGCGACCGGCGCACGGGUGAGUAACGCGUAUGCAACCUGCCUACAACAGGGGAAUAACCCGUUGAAAGACGGACUAAUACCCCAUAACACAGGGAUCCCGCAUGGGAAUAUUUGUUAAAGAUUUAUCGGUUGUAGAUGGGCAUGCGUUCCAUUAGCUUGUUGGUGAGGUAACGGCUCACCAAGGCAACGAUGGAUAGGGGAACUGAGAGGUUUAUCCCCCACACUGGUACUGAGACACGGACCAGACUCCUACGGGAGGCAGCAGUGAGGAAUAUUGGUCAAUGGACGCAAGUCUGAACCAGCCACGUCGCGUGAAGGAAGACGGCCCUACGGGUUGUAAACUUCUUUUGUAAGGGAAUAAAGUGUAGUACGUGUACUAUUUUGCAUGUACCUUACGAAUAAGGAUCGGCUAACUCCGUGCCAGCAGCCGCGGUAAUACGGAGGAUCCGAGCGUUAUCCGGAUUUAUUGGGUUUAAAGGGUGCGCAGGCGGGAGAUUAAGUCGGCGGUGAAAUUUUGCAGCUCAACUGUAAAAGUGCCUUCGAAACUGGUUUUCUUGAGUGUGGAUGAAGUAGGCGGAAUUUGUGGUGUAGCGGUGAAAUGCAUAGAUAUCACGAGGAACUCCGAUUGCGCAGGCAGCUUACUAAACCAUAACUGACGCUCACGCACGAAGGCGUGGGGAUCAAACAGGAUUAGAUACCCUGGUAGUC
Molecule: ribosomal RNA, 798 nt
Filed under: uncultured Porphyromonadaceae bacterium
Lineage: Bacteria; Pseudomonadati; Bacteroidota; Bacteroidia; Bacteroidales; Porphyromonadaceae
Description: bacterial SSU rRNA
Rfam family: Bacterial small subunit ribosomal RNA
Source: RNAcentral